UACUACUUCAGCCGGUGAUCUCCGUCCAGCCGGCGCCAGUUCGUCGUUUACAACUACCCCUUAACCGUCCGUCACUCUGCCUACCUGUUGCCGAACCCUCGCCUGCCUGACUACCGCUUGCUUCGCCCCAGCUUGUGAUCUACCCCGUGUCCCAAUAAACCCAGUUUACUUUUA
Long non-coding RNA from Gadus morhua (Atlantic cod), 174 nucleotides. RefSeq lists it as uncharacterized. The record is from RefSeq and is a predicted model, not a curated record. The transcript has 2 exons. Lineage: Eukaryota; Metazoa; Chordata; Actinopteri; Gadiformes; Gadidae.